RNAcentral lists this transfer RNA (21 nucleotides) under Cisticola cantans (singing cisticola). RNAcentral describes it as "partial tRNA-Met". Lineage: Eukaryota; Metazoa; Chordata; Aves; Passeriformes; Cisticolidae. The record is from RNAcentral.
GUCUAACCCCUUCCCCUACUA